GUGUUCACUUCAGCAGCACAUAUACUAAAAUUUGAAUGAUACAGAGAAGAUUAACAUGACCUCAGCGCAAGGAUGAUAAGCAAAUUCAUGAAGCCUUCUAUAUUUUU
Small nuclear RNA from Octodon degus (degu), 107 nucleotides. The record is from Ensembl. NCBI's taxonomy places the organism in Eukaryota, Metazoa, Chordata, Mammalia, Rodentia, Octodontidae.